This 535-nucleotide ribosomal RNA is filed under the name Pachycheles tuerkayi. RNAcentral describes it as "partial 16S ribosomal RNA". It matches the Rfam family "Bacterial large subunit ribosomal RNA", at positions 1808 to 2608 of the family's 2925-position model. Lineage: Eukaryota; Metazoa; Arthropoda; Malacostraca; Decapoda; Porcellanidae. The record is from RNAcentral.
CAAAAACAUGUCUGUAUGAAGUUAAAUAGAGUCUAUUCUGCCCAUUGAAUAAUUUAUUUAAAAGGCCGCAGUAUCCUAACUGUGCAAAGGUAGCAUAAUCAUUAGUUUUUUAAUUGGAGGCUUGUAUGAACGAUUGGACAAGAACUAAACUGUCUCUUUUUUAGUUUGUUGAAUUUUAUUUCUAAGUGAAAAAGCUUAGAUAGUUAAGAGGGACGAUAAGACCCUAUAAAUCUUUAUAAAAAUUUAUUUUUAGAAUAAUAUAUUUAUUUAAAGUAUUUUAAAAAUAUUAUUUUAUUAUACUGGGGCGGUAUUAAUAUAAAAUAAACUGUUAAUAAAUUAAACAAAUAUAUUUGAAAUUUAAUGAUCCUUAUUAUAGAUUAAAAGAAAAAGUUACUUUAGGGAUAACAGCAUAAUUUUUUUUGAGAGUUCGAAUCGAAAAAAAAGUUUGUGACCUCGAUGUUGAAUUAAGAAAUCCUUGUGGUGCAGCAGUUAUAAAGGAAAGUCUGUUCGACUUUUAAAUUUUUACAUGAUUUGA